UACGACGGGGGCUAGCGUUGCUCGGAAUCACUGGGCGUAAAGGGUGCGUAGGCGGGUCUUUAGGUCAGGGGUGAAAUCCUAGAGCUCAACUCCAGAACUGCCUUUGAUACUGAGGAUCUUGAGUUCGGGAGAGGUGAGUGGAACUGCGAGUGUAGAGGUGAAAUUCGUAGAUAUUCGCAAGAACACCAGUGGCGAAGGCGGCUCACUGGCCCGAUACUGACGCUGAGGCACGAAAGCGUGGGGAGCAAACAGG
This 253-nucleotide ribosomal RNA is filed under the name uncultured bacterium. RNAcentral's name for it is "partial 16S ribosomal RNA". It matches the Rfam family "Bacterial small subunit ribosomal RNA", at positions 524 to 776 of the family's 1533-position model. The record is from RNAcentral.